AACGAACGCUGGCGGCAUGCCUAACACAUGCAAGUCGAACGAGACCUUCGGGUCUAGUGGCGCACGGGUGCGUAACGCGUGGGAACCUGCCCUUAGGUUCGGAAUAACUCCCCGAAAGGGGUGUUAAUACCGGAUAAUGUCUUCGGACCAAAGAUUUAUCGCCUUUGGAUGGGCCCGCGUUGGAUUAGCUAGUUGGUAGGGUAAAAGCCUACCAAGGCGACGAUCCAUAGCUGGUCUGGGAGGAUGAUCAGCCACACUGGGACUGAGACACGGCCCAGACUCCUACGGGAGGCAGCAGUGGGGAAUAUUGGACGAUGGGCGAAAGCCUGAUCCAGCAAUGCCGCGUGAGUGAUGAAGGCCUUAGGGUUGUAAAGCUCUUUUACCCGGGAUGAUAAUGACAGUACCGGGAGAAUAAGCUCCGGCUAACUCCGUG
RNAcentral lists this ribosomal RNA (433 nucleotides) under uncultured bacterium. Its description in RNAcentral is "partial 16S ribosomal RNA". It matches the Rfam family "Bacterial small subunit ribosomal RNA", at positions 29 to 507 of the family's 1533-position model. The record is from RNAcentral.